UACGAAGGAUGCGAGCGUUAUCCGGACUUAUUGGGUUUAAAGGGUGCGUAGGCGGCAUUAUAAGUUAGUGGUAAAAUAUUGGGGCUUCACCUCACUACGCCAUUAAUACUGUAGAGCUAGAGAACAGACGAGGUAGGCGGAAUAAGUUAAGUAGCGGUGAAAUGCAUAGAUAUAACUUAGAACACCGAUAGCGAAGGCAGCUUACCAGACUGAGUCUGACGCUGAUGCACGAGAGCAUGGGUAGCGAACAGG
RNAcentral lists this ribosomal RNA (252 nucleotides) under uncultured bacterium. Its description in RNAcentral is "partial 16S ribosomal RNA". It matches the Rfam family "Bacterial small subunit ribosomal RNA", at positions 524 to 776 of the family's 1533-position model. The record is from RNAcentral.